Non-coding RNA from Salmo salar (Atlantic salmon), 730 nucleotides. The record is from RefSeq and is a predicted model, not a curated record. NCBI's taxonomy places the organism in Eukaryota, Metazoa, Chordata, Actinopteri, Salmoniformes, Salmonidae.
CGUAUCCUUCGGACAGGUCAGUUUAGGUCUAUUUCUGUUCCCAGAAGUCUCGCAAUGUUGCGCCUCUUGGUUUAGAAACUCUUUGGUUCAGAUAUUUAUAUUCCUCCUGGGUGCUUCCGUAUCCGUCGGACAGGUCAGUUUAAUUAAACAGCAUAAUAAAUUCUACACUACUGAGGAUAAAAAACCAGAGUAAAAACUAAAUUGGCUGGUGAAAUGGAUCGAGGGGUGUGUGUGUGACGACCCGUUCCUGAACCCAGAGCUGAUGAGGGCCAACCCCUGGGUGGAGAAAGGCAAAUGUGUGAUCCUCUAACGGACGCACACACGGAUACACACACAACACUGAGACACACACACACACACAAAGUUAUCCCGUCCUAUUUAUUUGUACAUCCAUGUCUAUGGUUUUAGUUGAAAGUAGUCCCCUUCCUUCCUGUGAGCAGCAUGUCCUGCAUUGAAAGUAGUCCCCUUCCUUCCUAUGAGCAGAAUGUCCUGCAUUGAAAGUAGCUCCCUUCCUUUGUUAAAAGAACCAGAUUGAUUUUAGUUAACAACAAACUCACUUUUUAUUGGCUUUUUACCCCACUGUCAAUCAGAAUACACUGUUUUUAUUGGCUGUUUCUACUGUCAAUCAGAAUACAAAUGAUUUUAUUGGCUGUUUCUACUGUCAAUCAGAAUACAAACGUUUUUAUUGGCUGUUUCCACUGUCAAUCAAACAUAAUAAAGAGGUGGUUUG